Molecule: long non-coding RNA, 577 nt
Organism: Wasmannia auropunctata (little fire ant)
Lineage: Eukaryota; Metazoa; Arthropoda; Insecta; Hymenoptera; Formicidae
Exons: 2
Source: RefSeq, a predicted model, not a curated record
AUUGUGACAGAGUGGAAAGGGAAAACGCGUUGCCGCAGUCGAUUUGCAAGCUUCAUAGUGACUAGUCGCGCGUUGAAGGAAAUUGUUGAAAAGCGUAGUCAGUAAAAGUAUCCCCUAAGUGAUCAAAUAAAAACGCUAAGGUUCAAGUUAAUUAAUUCGUCGGAGUCGAGAAUAAUCAGAAACAAGUGCUUAAAAAAAAGCUGAAACUGAAAAAACACGCUUUUUCGUCGAAACUACUAACACAUUAAUAAGGAAGAAGAAGAACAAAUUAAUUAUCAACGUUCUCCCUUCUGGUUCAUCUGAAUCGUGAUAAGCUGUAAUCGCAUGCCGUCUUCCUUUGGACAAUUGUAUAAAAAUAGCAUCAAAGUUUAUUCAAUAUCGUCACCAUGGCUGGAAUGAUACAAAAACUUAUAGCAUGGUAUAAAUAUAUUAACUACGAUUUGGCGGAUCCACGUACCAAAGAUUAUUUACUAAUGAGCACGCCAUGGCCUGGCCUAAUUUUAAUUGGAUUUUAUAUAUAUUUUAUAUAUAAUCUUGGACCAAGACUUAUGGAAAAAAGACAGCCUUUUAAAUUAUA